Molecule: transfer RNA, 71 nt
Filed under: Uvitellina sp. SSS-2019
Lineage: Eukaryota; Metazoa; Platyhelminthes; Trematoda; Plagiorchiida; Cyclocoelidae
Description: tRNA-Asn
Source: RNAcentral
GUGCGUGUAGAUUAUUUUGUUAGAUCGUAAGGCUGUUAACUUUGAGAAGGAUAUUUUGUUUCCCGCGGACG